Molecule: ribosomal RNA, 301 nt
Filed under: uncultured bacterium
Lineage: Bacteria
Description: partial 16S ribosomal RNA
Rfam family: Bacterial small subunit ribosomal RNA
Source: RNAcentral
CAGUCGCCGCGGGAAUACGGAGGGGGCUAGCGUUGUUCGGAAUUACUGGGCGUAAAGCGCACGUAGGCGGCUUGGUAAGUUAGAGGUGAAAGCCUGGAGCUCAACUCCAGAAUUGCCUUUAAGACUGCCGAGCUAGCAGGUGAGAGAGGUAAGUGGAAUUCCGAGUGUAGAGGUGAAAUUCGUAGAUAUUCGGAAGAACACCAGUGGCGAAGGCGGCUUACUGGCUCAUACUGGACGCUGAGGUGCGAAAGCGUGGGGAGCAAACAGGAUUAGAUACCCCUGUAGUCCCUGUCUCUUAUAC